Molecule: RNA transcript, 2879 nt
Organism: Molossus molossus (Pallas's mastiff bat)
Lineage: Eukaryota; Metazoa; Chordata; Mammalia; Chiroptera; Molossidae
Exons: 14
Source: RefSeq, a predicted model, not a curated record
GGCACGGGCACAAAAUCUGGCUAAAACCGACCAGGCCAAGCUGUUGAGGAAUGCUGGGGUUUGGCGUCAGAAGGGAUGGGACCAGAGAGAAGGGUGCGAAGGAGACCCCAGUAGGGGCAGGGCACUGCAGGUAAAGAAGGGGAAGAAGAGGCCCAGAAGUCAAGGGCCAGGCUGUGAAGGAGAAUAAAGGAGGUCAAAGAGAGGUCAUAUCUUCGUACCUCACUUCCUGACACAAACAAGUUUUCACUGUUGUCAGCAACAAAGCCCUAAUAUAGCUGCGGAAGAAAAAAACUGCAUCGCAUUUUGUCUCCUGCAAGCAUCAUCCACAGUUACCGGAGGAAUGUAAUUCCAGAAAGCUUUAAAGCUGGUGGUGAUGGUAAUUAUGUAUCAAAUGCCUGAUUCUAUUUCUGUUAUUAUUAUUUUGUCAUUUCUGUUCUACCCAAGAGCUGGCUGAACUCGCAGAGGUACAAAUCCGGUUUUUCUUUUUGAUUUGAUAAAAUUUAAUCAGACCUGAUAGAGAACUCACUGCUUCUUGGGAAAAAUAAAGUAGGAGCCACGAAAUGUCAUUUUAACAGAGCGUGGGUUUUGUGACUGUAGGAAAGGAUUUAAGGACGCUCCUUCUGUUCGGUUUUCUAUGUAAUGAGCAAAGGCUCCGCGCACGCACAGACGCCGCAGCUCCCGGAUGCUGUGGCUCCCUUAUCUGGGCUUCGGCAGCCCCAGAAGCCCCUCCGGGAUGCUGCGAGGGGCUCUCGGUGGGUGGUGGUACGAAGGCUGCGUCCGCCGCCGUCAGUCCUGCUGCUGUUGUUGCUGCUGCUGCAGUCACGUGGGAGCCCCUUUAAGUUUCCAUAGAGAAGCCUCUCCGGUGUCACAUGAUGGACAUGAUAUAAUGAAACAACGUUGUGGAGAGGAAAGCAUUAGGGGAGCCCACGGCUACGAAAACAAGUGAGUGAGAAGAGGUGGGAGGAAGAGAAACUACGCCACCUCCCCUGCAGCCGGGCCGCACGCAGGAGCAGCCAGCGAGACGGGGGCGACGCCGGGGGGGAGGGGGGACGGAGAGACCGGGUCCUCAGCCCCGGCCUGGGGACCCCGCCGCCCACCUCGGAGACAACAACUUUUAGCCAGCAGCCUCGGCCAGCACUGCACCUGUCUCCCGAGCCUCCAUCGCUCCCCGUGACGAUCAAAGGGAAAUUCUAGAAGAAUAUGCUGUACAAACAUACAUGCGCAUCGUUUUCCCCCUUGCGUCUUGCUCUGGAGGAAGGAAAGAGAAAGGGAUUUAAGCAGCAGCUUGUGUUCAUCCUCAAGCACCGCCGAGCCUCCCUGGAAUGCUGCUGCUACUCAGCUCUUGGAUCGAGGGGUGAAUAGGAUUUUACCUCUCGUUCUCGGGGAAUCUUUUAACAAGUCAGAAGAGUCAGGAUAUUUUACCAUCUGGAGUUUCUCUGCCUGGCUGAUCUAAGCCCAAACCUGCCAGUUUAUGGGAGACAGUAUACUGUAACAGCUGAGUGAAAUUCUGGAAAACUAAUCUAUAGUGACAGAGAGCAGAUCAGUAGUUGCAUGAGGAUGACUUGGGAGAAGAGGAUUCCAAGGAGGGGGCUCAAUGAAACACUGGGGAAAAUUCGACAGAGAUUGAUGGGACACUUGUGUUUGUCUGUCACUCUGAAGUGUCGAGAGAAGGAGGACUCGAAACAUAUAGUGUUGAAAAGGAGGAGAUUGUGGCUAACGUUCCUUUAAGUUAGGAAAGCUUUUGCCUAACAGAACAUAGAUCAUAACAGAUUUCCUUCCAGGAAGACUGCAGAGGUGAAGUGACAUUACCCCAUUGUAUGAAGGGAACGUGAGAGCCACAGGACUCAUCCCUGGGGACGUGCCCCUGAUCACUUGGCCAGCGGAGUGCUAGGCAGGUUCUCCCCAGGAAGUGUGUCCCUGCCCCCUUUCCGUACUCUUUGGAAGUUGCAGAAAUAUCCGCCUCUAAGAACUCAGGAGGACUUAUUUGUGAGAGCAGAGGUAGUGAGUCAUACCUGCAGGCUUGGAAACGAGAAUUCAUUUGCGCCUCUUCAUCCAGUCGGGAGGUUUCCUAGGCAACCAUUUAUGCAGUAAUUAAAAGACAAGAAACUAAGAGGAGAAAAGUGGAAGAAAUAGACACUCUUAAUGGAAUGGAAUAAACCACUGAACAGGACGGGUCCGGCUGGUGCGCAGGGAUCCUCCGUGUGACUGCUUGGUGGCGGCUUGGCCUCUGAGGGGCGAACACGAAACGGCCCACACGUUCACAGGAAGCCGGUCAGAGUGCAUGGACGGCCCAGGGGAGCCCGAGGGUCCGGAUGGGUUCUCAGGCCCUUCCAGCUGUGGAGAGGAGCCCGGCACAUCUCCCGAAGCUCCCGCAGCCGUCCCGGCCUCGGCAGAGGAAGCGCCGCUCUCGGCCCCGGAGGACAUGUGCCCAGCAUCUCCCGGACGACCGCACAGUGGACACCGCACCGUCUCAGGUUCCGGUGCCUCGCAGAAGAUCCCGGGGCCGGCUCCUCGCCCUGUGUCUUUGCAGGUGCUCGUCUUGCUUCCUCAUCGGUUCCCUGCUGACAUCGCCUCAUUCUCUGAUUCUCCGCAGGUUUCUUCACCGAGGGGAAUGCUCUGGCUCCAUCCUGCAGACUCGGCCACUGAUGCUGCGAUGCAGCAGCGCCUACAGAGGGAUGCAGGGGCCCGGAGGGAGUCGCACGGUCAGUGAAAUGGUUAUCCGAGGGCCUGUGCCGCCUCUGGCCCCGCUCUGCGCCGGAUCCGAGUGCUCACGUCUCCCGCCAAACAGUUAACUGCCUGUCAGUUCGCGAGGGUGUGGUUUCUGUGCAGCGACGGGCUGUCGCAUCUGCAACAAAGUGACUGCCACACGUGUCUGUCCC